CGAAUGGCGGCGUGCUUACCAUGGCAGUCGAACGGAGCGCCGGACACGGACUAUUUCGGUAGGAAGCGUGCGGAGGCUUAGUGGCGGACGGGUGAGUAACGCGUGGAUAACCUGCCGCAUACCGGGGGAUAACAGCUGGAAACAGCUGCUAAUACCGCAUAUGCCCGCAGUGCCGCAUGGCACAGCGGGGAAAACUCCGGUGGUAUGCGAUGGGUCCGCGUCUGAUUAGGCAGUUGGCGGGGUAACGGCCCACCAAACCGACGAUCAGUAGCCGGCCUGAGAGGGCGGACGGCCACACUGGGACUGAGACACGGCCCAGACUCCUGCGGGAGGCAGCAGUGGGGAAUAUUGCACAAUGGGGGAAACCCUGAUGCAGCGACGCCGCGUGAAGGAAGAAGUAUCUCGGUAUGUAAACUUCUAUCAGCAGGGAAGAAAACAGACGGUACCUGACUAAGAAGCCCCGGCUAACUACGUGCCAGCAGCCGCGGUAAUACGUAGGGGGCAAGCGUUAUCCGGAUUUACUGGGUGUAAAGGGGGCGCAGACGGCCAUGGCAAGCCCGGUGUGAAAGGCAGGGGCAUAACCCCUGGACUGCACUGGGAACUGUCAGGCUGGAGUGCCGGAGGGGUAAGCGGAAUUCCUGGUGUAGCGGUGAAAUGCGUAGAUAUCAGGAGGAACACCGGCGGCGAAGGCGGCUUACUGGACGGCAACUGACGUUGAGGCCCGAAAGCGUGGGGAGCGAACAGGAUUAGAUACCCUGGUAGUCCACGCCGUAAACGAUGUAUACCAGGUGUCGGAUAUC
RNAcentral lists this ribosomal RNA (800 nucleotides) under uncultured bacterium. RNAcentral describes it as "bacterial SSU rRNA". It matches the Rfam family "Bacterial small subunit ribosomal RNA", at positions 34 to 831 of the family's 1533-position model. The record is from RNAcentral.